This 407-nucleotide ribosomal RNA is filed under the name uncultured bacterium. RNAcentral's name for it is "bacterial SSU rRNA". It matches the Rfam family "Bacterial small subunit ribosomal RNA", at positions 355 to 776 of the family's 1533-position model. The record is from RNAcentral.
UGAGGAAUUUUCCGCAAUGGGCGAAAGCCUGACGGAGCAAUGCCGCGUGGAGGAAGAAGGACCGUGGUUCGUAAACUCCUGUUCUCAGAGAAGAAGAUCUGACGGUAUCUGAGGAAUAAGCUCCGGCUAACUCUGUGCCAGCAGCCGCGGUAAUACAGAGGGAGCAAGCGUUAUCCGGAAUAAUUGGGCGUAAAGCGUCUGUAGGUGGUUUAGAAAGUCUACUGUCAAAUCCCAAGGCUCAACCUUGGCCAGGCAGUGGAGUACUUCUAGACUUGAGUGUGGUAGAGGUAGAGGGAAUCCCUAGCGUAACAGUGAAAUGUGUAGAUUUUAGGGAGAACACCAGCGGCGAAGGCGCUCUACUGGGCCAUGACUGACACUGAGAGACGAAAGCUACAGGAGCGAAUAGG